Olea europaea var. sylvestris is the source of this 2510-nucleotide RNA transcript. It is a transcript of the gene named KH domain-containing protein HEN4-like, with no coding region annotated. The transcript has 9 exons. NCBI's taxonomy places the organism in Eukaryota, Viridiplantae, Streptophyta, Magnoliopsida, Lamiales, Oleaceae. The record is from RefSeq and is a predicted model, not a curated record.
CGACCGUCUUAAACAUUUACCCGUAACUUCUCAUUACGCAUACAGUCCUCUCAAAACCCUAAAUAUUAUUGUAUUGUCGUAAGCAUAUUUUCAUACGCAGACUUUUCUUUCGCUUAAUCUUUUAACCUUGAAAUUUUCUAUCCAACAGAUUGAACUCUGUAUGCAAGAUGGCUGGUCAGAGAAACUACGGGAAGCGAUUGAAUUCUCAAUCUGACUUUGGUGAUAAUAGAGGAAACAAAAGAAGAAAUUCUGGAACUGAUAAAGACCUUUUCUCUAUUGGAUCGGAUGACACAGUGUACCGCUACUUGUGCCCUGGAAAGAAGAUUGGAAGUAUUAUAGGAAGGGGAGGGGAAAUUGUUAAGCAAUUAAGAGUGGAUACUAAAUCGAAGAUUAGAAUUGGCGAGUCAGUGCCUAGAUGUGAAGAACGUGUUGUCACUAUAUAUAGUACUAGUGAGGAAACAAAUGAUCUUGAUGAUAGUGAUGAUCGUGUUUGUCCUGCUCAAGAUGCACUUUUCAAAGUUCAUGAUAGAAUUGUUGCUGAGGACGUAUCAGUUGACGAGGACUCUGAAGAAGCUCCACAAGUUACUGCUCGGCUUCUAGUACCAUCUGAUCAGAUUGGAUGCAUCAUUGGGAAAGGUGGGCAGAUAGUUCAGAAUAUUCGUAGCGAAACUGGAGCUCAGGUUCGCAUUCUUAAGGAUGACCAUUUGCCUGCAUGUGCAUUGGGCUCUGAUGAACUUGUGCAGAUAUCUGGUGAAGCCUCUGUAGUUAAGAAAGCUCUUUAUCAGAUUGCAUCUAGGCUUCACGACAAUCCUUCUCGAUCUCAGCAUUUGCUGGCAUCUUCUGUUCCGAGUGUCUAUCCUUCUGGUGGUUCACUUAUAGGGGCCCCUGCUGGUGCCUCCAUCAUGGGAUUGACUCCAUUGCUCGGGCCUUAUGGGGAAUAUAAAGGAGAGAGUGCUGACUGGUCACGUUCUCUCUACUCGGCUCCAAGGAAUGAAGCAUCUUCAAAGGAAUUCUCACUUCGUUUGGUUUGUCCGACUUCUAACAUCGGAGGUGUUAUCGGCAAGGGUGGUGUGAUCAUAAAUCAAAUCAGACAAGAAUCUAGAGCAGCUAUCAAAGUUGAUAGUUCUGCUGCAGAGGGAGAUGAUUGUGUAAUUUCUAUUUCGGCAAAAGAGUUUUUUGAAGAUACGUUCUCUCCAACAAUCGAAGCAGCACUGCGCUUGCAGCCCAGAUGCAGUGACAAAAUUGAAAGAGAUUCUGGUCUUAUUUCGUUCACUACACGGUUGCUUGUUCCAACCUCUCGGAUCGGUUGCCUUAUUGGCAAAGGAGGUUCCAUUAUUUCGGAAAUGAGGAAAAUCACUAAAGCUAAUAUUCGCAUACUGUCGAAGGAAAACCUUCCUAAGGUGGCCGCUGAAGAUGAUGAGAUGGUGCAGAUUUCUGGAGAGCUUGACAUUGCCAAGGAUGCCCUUGUACAAGUAACUUCACGCUUGAGGGCAAAUCUUUUUGAGAAGGAGGGUGCUAUGUCCGCCUUUGUACCUGUACUUCCAUACCUUCCAGUGUCAGCAGAUGGUCCUGAGAGUUUAAACUAUGAAAGCAGAGAUUCUAAGAACCGUGGCCGUGGAUAUUCCUAUUCUGAUGGAUAUGGUGGCUCUCCUGAAUUGCCACGUGUUGAUGCUUAUGGAACUUAUAGUGGUCUUCAGAGCGGCAGUGGCAGCUCUGCUUAUGGAGUCUAUGGAGGUCAUUCUUCAGGUCGUCCUGGUGGUUCUGGGUUAUCUGGACGUAACCCUGUUUCUAGGGGGAGAAAUUAUGAAUACUAAAGUUUGAUAAUAAGAUUGCAGUAUCCUUUUCAAGUUUUUUAUAUGAGAAACAGGAGACUAUAGUCCAGAAUGAAGAACUAGCAGCUAUUGCAGUUAGAAAGCAGAUGCAGUCCAGAGGAUACGAUUGAUCCUGGUUGUUGCAAGUCACUUAAAAAUCUGGGACAGGCUUGAUGGGACACAUGUUUUCUGCAAACCACAGGUAAUAUUCUAUUUCCUAAUGUACCAAAUAAUCUUGGUAGUUAUUAGUUAAAACCAAUUUUCAGGGCGCUAUCUACACAUAUAAUGAAUGGCGAGUGAAUCCAAAAUACUUGAUAUCAUAUGCUCACGGAUUUCCCUAUAUAUCUAAGCACGAAAAAUUAUUAACUGUUUCUGGUUUCUCAGUCAUUUUGGCUUCUACUUUAAAACUGCUGCAAGUUCAUUCGUGGACUUGUGCAUUGUCUCUCCAAACAGCUGAACUUUGUUGAAAGCUUGAAGGUAACGUUUGAGCAGUGUCAGAUUUUUUUGUUUUAGUUGAAUUACAUUUAUUUCGAAAUUAAUAUAUGCAGCCAAUGAUAGAUAGCAUUAGAUCGGUGUCUUAUAUUACCAUAUCAUCUUUCGUUUAAUGCGCAAUUCUUUUCUAUUUGUACUGGAUUGUUCUAAUUACUAGAAACAAGAUUUGUCCAAAUGAAAUUCGUAUUCUAUGUUGAAUUUUUGUAA